AUUCCCACACCUAUGGAAUAAGGAAUGGUCAUUCCCACACCUAUGGAACCAGCCAUGGUCAUUCCCACACCUGUGGAUCUGCGAAUGGUCAUUCCAAGGUGCGCCCAAAAGAUGCCCCAGGCAACUGGAGAUGCUCCAGGGUCAAUCCACCUCCCAAAUCCCGCAGUUUCCUGUUCCCCACAGCCCAAAAUCGCUGCUUUUAGGAGAAAAAAGACCCUGGCUCACCACCUGCUGCCCCAAAAUCCUGGGAAAACAAACGGGGCUGCGCACUUUCCAACCCCAGGACAUUCAGUUGUUCAGCUGGAGAGAAGUUCUGGGGUGACCUCGCUGUGGCCUUGCAGGACCUGAAGGGGCUUCAGGAAUAAUGGAAGGAGAAUUUUCCCAAGGCAGAAAUGUUCAGAAAAGGGGAAGUGGAGUCACGGGGAGAGGACGAGAUUUGGGUGGGAUUUUGGGAAGGAAUUGUUCCCUGUGAGGGUCCCAGGUGAUUCCAUGGAUUUCCCACCGCUGGAAGUGCCCAAGGCCAGGCUGGAACCACGUGGGACAGGGGAAGGUCCCUGCCCAUGGAACUGGGAUUUUUUUGGGAUUUAAGGUUCCUUUCCAUCCCAAACCAUUCCAGGCUCACGGAGCACUGAGCCAUUUGUCACACACGGCCAUGGUGACACUUUGUCCCAGCGGCCACCCUCAUCUUUCCUUGGGAACGGGGUUGGUUUUUUGUAAACACCUGGAGUUUCCUCCUUUUUCCUUGAAAACAGAAUGCUUUGGGUUUUUUAAACACCUCAAAUUCCUGUGUGAGAGUGAAUUGCCCCUCCUUGAUGCGUCAUUUUCGUCACAAACCACAUCCAAAGCCCUCCCCUCUACCUCGACCCUGAAAAGCCACAAAGACACUUCUUCCUUGUUCUUCCUCUUUCUGGUGCUGAUUUUUGGGUGCUGGUGCCCCAAAUCCUCUCUGUUCCUGGACACCCAUGGACGUGUUUUGGGUCCCUCUUCUUGCCACACUCAUGGUCCUCCACCAAACCACGAGCGCCAGCGACACCGAGGAGGUGAUCGGGGUCCUGGGCAGGUCUGUGACCUUCCGCACCCACAACACAGACAAAAGUGCAGCAUUCUGGAAUUUUGGGAAUGAUCCCAUAGUGACUGUGGCAUUUGAGGACCCUCCUCGACCGGUAUUUUCUAAAGACAAAUUCCAAACCCGUUUUGCCGUCUCCGAGAACGGCCGCGUGCUCACCAUCUCCCAGCUGAGGAUGGAGGAUGCCGGGACCUACUCUGUAUUAACUGAUGGAAAAAGAUCCACCUUCACCCUCCAGGUGUUCGGGGAGCUGGCAGAGCCCACGGUGACCUGCGAGGCCCAGAACUGCUCGGACGGGAGCUGCAGCUUCUCCCUGCGCUGCUCCGUACCCGGCGCCGGCCUCGGGAACGUCUCCUACAGCUGGAGGGUGCGGGAUCAGCCGUGGGACGGGGACUCCGUGGUGCUGCGGGUGAACGAAUCAUCCCGGGAGGAGCCGGAGCCGCUGACGUGCACGGCACGGAACCCCGUCAGCAGCCGGAGCGUCACCGUCACCAUCCCCGGGGUGCUCUGCUCAGGCACCGGCUCUCCCCGGGAUGCAGAGGAAAGCUCUGAGCUGUUGUUUCCCCUCUCCAGCAAGUGCCACGGACCCUCCCAGCCCAGGUGCCCACUCCGGCAGCUGGAUCAGGAUCGGCGUCGUAGCCGGGGUUGAAAUCGCGUCGCUUUUAUCGAUUUACCUCGUGUUCUACUGCAAAUCCAAAGAUUGACAGCCAGUUAAACCACGGAAAGGAGCUGGACACGCCUCUGUGGAAAAGCAGAUUUAAAAAUGAGCAAAGCCCAAGAAAAGCUCUUUCCUCUGCCCUGGGAACAGGUCACUGACCGGCCCCACCUGGCCAGGGUGGGCUGAGAUUCCUGCCACAGCCGGGCCGUGCCACCAGGACU
Molecule: RNA transcript, 1945 nt
Organism: Passer montanus (Eurasian tree sparrow)
Lineage: Eukaryota; Metazoa; Chordata; Aves; Passeriformes; Passeridae
Gene name: T-lymphocyte surface antigen Ly-9-like
Exons: 6
Source: RefSeq, a predicted model, not a curated record